UGGAAGGCUCUAGGGGAAUAAAGAUGGAAUGACUUCUAAUUUUUAGGUCCGUAUGAUUUGAAAUACUUGCACACAAACCACGCGAAAGCGUUCCUGGAAAUCUCAGCCCAAAAAAGGACGUUUAGUAAUUCUAAAAGGGACUACAGGAUGAAAAACAAUAGUUUUGGCAGUUAAAGUUUGAGAUUCGACAGUGCCGUAGAUCCGUUUGGUCAUCAGGUAUUACGAGCCACACCCAUGUCUAGCUAGAAUAGUGUGCUAGGCUCAGGCUAGAGAAGAAACGGGGAACAAACUGAUGAAAGAAUGAUCAAACCGAGGGAAUUCACUCAGAACUAACAAUAAUGAUAACGUGCUCCGACUGGUGCGGUUUAGGAACUGCUGGAAGGCUCUAGGGGAAUAAAGAUGGAAUGACUUCUAAUUUUUAGGUCCGUAUGAUUUGAAAUACUUGCACACAAACCGCGCGAAAGCGUUCCUGGAAAUCUCAGCCCAAAAAAGGACGUUUAGUAAUUUUAAAAGGGACUAUAGGAUGAAAAACAAUAGUUUUGGCAAUUAAAGUUUGAGAUUCGACGGUGUCGUAGAUCCGUUUGGUCAUCAGGUGUUACGAGCCACACCCAUGUCUAGCUAGAAUAGUAUGUCAGGCUCAGGUUAGAGUAGAAACGGGGAACAAACUGAUGAAAGAAUGAUCAUACCAAGGGAAUUCACUCAGAACUAUCAAGAAUGAUAACGUGCUCCGACUGGAGUGAUUUAGGAACUGCUGGAAGGCUCUAGGGGAAUAAAGAUGGAAUGACUUCUAAUUUUUACGUCCGUAUGAUUUGAAAUACUUGCACACAAAUCACGCAAAAGCGUUCCUGGAAAUCUCAGCCUAAAAAAGGACGUUUAGUAAUUCUAAAAGGGACUACAGGAUGAAAAACAAUAGUUUGGGCAGUUAAAAUUUGAGAUUCGACGGUGCCGUAGAUCCGUUUGGUCAUCAGGUGUUACGAGCGACACCCUUGUCUAGCUAGAAUAGUGUGUUAGGCUCAGACUAGAGAAGAAACGGGGAACAAAGUGAUGAAAGAAUGAUCAUACCGAGGGAAUUCACUCAGAACUAACAAGAAUGAUAACGUGCUCCGACUGGAGCGGUUUAGUAACUGCUGGAAGGCUCUAGGGGAAUGAAGAUGGAAUGACUUCUAAUUUUUAGGUCCGUAUGAUUUGAAAUACAUGCACACAAACCCUGAGAAAGCGUUCCUGGAAAUCUCGGUCGAAAAAAGGAUGUUUAAUAAUUCUAAAAGGGACUACCGGAUGAAAAACAAUAGUUUUGGCAGUUAAAGUUUGUGAUUCGAUGGUGCCGUAGAUCUGUUUGGUCAUCAGGUGUUACGAGCCACACCCAUGUCUAUCUAGAAUAGUGUGUUAGGCUCAGGCUAGAGCAGAAACGGGGAACAGACUUAUGAAAGAAUGAUCAUACCGAGGGAAUUCACUCAGAACUAACAAGAAUGAUAACGUGCUCCGACUGGCGCGGUUUAGGAACUGCUGGAAGGCUCUAGGGGAAUAAAGAUGGAAAGACUUCUAAUUUUUAGGUCCGUAUGAUUUGAAAUACUUGCACACAAACCGCACGAAAGCGUUCCUGGAAAUCUCAGCCUAAAAAGGAUGUUUAGUAAUUCUAAAAGGGACUACAAGAUGAAAAAUAAUAGUUUGGGCAGUUAAAAUUUGAGAUUCGACGAUGCCGUAGAUCCGUUUGGUCAUCAGGUGUUAUGAGCCACACCCAUGUCUAGCUAGAAUAGUGUGUUAGGCUCAGGCUAGAGAAGAAACGGGGAACAAACUGAUGAAAGAAUGAUCAUACCGAGGGAAUUCACUCAGAACUAACAAGAAUGAUAACGUGCUCCGACUGGAGCAGUUUAGAAACUGCUGGAAGGCUCUAAUGGAAUAAAGAUGGAAUGCCUUCAAAUUUCUAGGUCCGUAUGAUUUGAAAUACUUGCACACAAACCGCUCGAAAGCGUUCCUGGAAAUCUCAGCCCAAAAAAGGACGUUUAGUAAUUCUAAAAGGGACUACAGGAUGAAAAACAAUAGUUUUGGCAGUUAAAGUUUGAGAUUCGAUGGUGCCGUAGAUCCGUUUGGUCAUCAGGUGUAACGAGCCACACACAUGUCUAGCUAGAGUAGUGUGCUAGGCUCAGACUAGAGAAGAAACGGGGAACAAAGUGAUGAAAGAAUGAUCAUACCGAGGGAAUUCACUCAGAACUUACAAGAAUGAUAACGUGCUCCGACUGGAGCGCUUUAGUAACUGCUGGAAGGCUCUAGGCGAAUAAAGAUGGAAUGACUUCUAAUUUUUAGGUCCGUAUGAUUUGAAAUACUUGCACACAAACCACGCAAAACCGUUCCUAGAAAUCUCGGUCGAAAAAAGGACGUUUAGUAAUUCUAAAAGGGACUACAGGAUGAAAAACAAUAGUUUUGGCAGUUAAAGUUUGAGAUUCGAUGGUGCCGUAGAUCCGUUUGGUCAUCAGGUGUUACGAGCCACACCCAUGUCUAGCUAGAGUAGUGUGCUAGGUUCAGACUAGAGAAGAAACGGGGAACAAAGUGAUUAAAGAAUGAUCAUACCGAGGGAAUUCACUCAGAACUAACAAGAAUGAUAACGUGCUCCGACUGGAGCGGUUUAGGAACUGCUGGAAGGCUCUAGGGGAAUAAAGAUGGAAUGACUUCUAAUUUUUACGUCCGUAUGAUUUGAAAUACAUGCACACAAACCACGCAAAAGCGUUCCUGGAAAUCUCAGCCUAAAAAAGGACGUUUAGUAAUUCUAAAAGGGACUACAGGAUGAAAAAUAAUAGUUUGGGCAGUUAAAAUUUGAGAUUCGACGCUGCCGUAGAUCCGUUUGGUCAUCAGGUCUUACGAGCCACACCCAUGUCUAGCUAGAAUAGUGUGUUAGGCUCAGGCUAGAGAAGAAACGGGGAACAAACUGAUGAAAGAAUGAUCAUACCGAGGGAAUUCACUCAGAACUAACAAGAAUGAUAACGUGCUCCGACUGGAGCAGUUUAGAAACUCCUGGAAGGCUCUAGGGGAAUAAAGAUGGAAUGACUUCAAAGUUUUAGGUCCGUAUGAUUUGAAAUACUUGCACACAAACCGCGUGAAAGCGUUCCUGGAAAUCUCAACCCAAAAAAGGGCGUUUAGUAAUUCUAAAAGGGACUACAGGAUGUAAAACAAUAGUUUUGGCAGUUAAAGUUUGAGAUUCGAUGGUGCCGUAGAUCCGUUUGGUCAUCAGGUGUAACGAGCCACACCCAUGUCUAGCUAGAGUAGUGUGCUAGGCUCAGACUAGAGAAGAAACGGGGAACAAAGUGAUGAAAGAAUGAUCAUACCGAGGGAAUUCACUCAUAACUAACAAGAAUGAUAACGUGCUCUGACUUGAGCGGUUUAGGAACUGCUGGAAGGCUAUAGGGGAAUAAAGAUGGAAUGACUUCAAAUUUUUAGGUCCGUAUGAUCUGAAAUACUUGCACACAAACCGCGAGAAAGCGUUCCUGGAAAUCUCAACCCAAAAAAGGACGUUUAGUAAUUCUAAAAGGGACUACAGGAUGAAAAACAAUAGUUCUGGCAGUUAUUGUUUGAGAUUCGAUAAUCUCGUAGAUCCGUUUGGUCAUCAGGUGUAACGAGCCACACCCAUGUCUAGCUAGAGUAGUGUGCUAGGCUCAGACUAGAGAAGAAACGGGGAACAAACUGAUGAAAGAAUGAUCAUACCGAGGGAAUUCACUUAGAACUAACAAGAAUGAUAACGUGCUCCGACUGGAGCGGUUUAGGAACUGCUGGAAGGCUCUAGGGGAAUAAAGAAGGAACGACUUCUAAUUUUUAGGUCCGUAUGAUUUGAAAUAUGUGCACACAAACCACGAGAAAGCGUUCCUAGAAAUCUCGGCCCAAAAGAGGACGUUUAGUAUUCUAAAAGGGACUACAGAAUGAAAAACAAUAGUUUUGGCAGUUAAAGUUUGAGAUUUGACGGUGCCGUAGAUCUGUUUGGUCAUCAGGGGUUACGAGCCACACCCAUGUCUAGCUAGAAUAGUGUGUUAGGCUCAGGCUAGAAAAGAAACGGGGAACAAAGUGAUGAAAGAAUGAUCAUACCGAGGGAAUUCACUCAGAACUAACAAGAAUGAUAACAUGCUCCGACUGGAGCGGUUUAGGAACUGCUGGAAGGCUCUAGGGGAAUAAAGAUGGAAUGACUUCUAAUUUUUAGGUCCGUAUGAUUUGAAAUACUUGCACACAAACCGCGCGAAAGCGUUCCUGGAAAUCUCAGCCCAAAAAAGGACGUUUAGUAAUUCUAAAAGGGACUACAGGAUGAAAAACAAUAGUUUUGGCAGUUAAAGUAUGAGAUUCAACGGUGCCGUAGAUCCGUUUGGUCAUUAGGUGUUACGAGCCACACCCAUGUCUAGCUAGAAUAGUGUGCUAGGCUCAGGCUAGAGAAGAAACGGGGAACAAACUGAUGAAAGAAUGAUCAAACCGAGGGAAUUCACUCAGAACUAACAAUAAUGAUAACGUGCUCCGACUGGAGCGGUUUAGGAACUGCUGGAAGUCUCUAGGGGAAUAAAGAUGGAAUGACUUCUAAUUUUUACGUUCGUAUGAUUUGAAAAACUUGCCCAUAAACCGCGCGAAAGUGUUCCUGGAAAUCUCAGCCCAAAAAAGGACGUUUAGUAAUUUUAAAAGGGACUACACGAUGAAAAACAAUAGUUUUGGCAGGUAAAGUUUGAGAUUCGACAGUGCCGUAGAUCCGUUUGGUCAUCAGGUGUUACGAGCCACACCCAUGUCUAGCUAGAAUAGUAUGUUACGCUCAGGUUAGAGAAGAAACGGGGAACAAACUGAUGAAAGAUGAUCAUACCAAGGGAAUUCACUCAGAACUAACAAGAAUGAUAACGUGCUCCGACUGGAGCGGUUUAGGAACUGCUGGAAGGCUCUAGGGGAAUAAAGAUGGAAUGACUUCUAAUUUUUACGUCUGUAUGAUUUGAAAUACUUGCACACAAACAACGCAAAAGCAUUCCUGGAAAUCUCAUCCUAAAAAAGGACGUUUAGUAAUUCUAAAAGGGACUACAGGAUGAAAAAUAAUAGUUUGGGAAGUUAAAAUUUGAGAUUCGAUAGUGCCGUAGAUCCGUUUGGUCAUCAGGUGUUAGGAGCCACACCCAUGUCUAGCUAGAAUAGUGUGUUAGGCUCAGGCUAGAGAAGAAACAGGGAACAAACUGAUGAAA
This 5183-nucleotide long non-coding RNA is filed under the name Triticum aestivum (bread wheat). RNAcentral describes it as "long non-coding RNA (TAES_LNC019907)". Lineage: Eukaryota; Viridiplantae; Streptophyta; Magnoliopsida; Poales; Poaceae. The record is from RNAcentral.